This is a long non-coding RNA of Gorilla gorilla gorilla (western lowland gorilla), 2580 nucleotides long. RefSeq lists it as uncharacterized. NCBI's taxonomy places the organism in Eukaryota, Metazoa, Chordata, Mammalia, Primates, Hominidae. The transcript has 4 exons. The record is from RefSeq and is a predicted model, not a curated record.
GAAGGGGAGAGGAGGAAGAGGAGGAAAACUGGAGACAGAGAAGUAAUGGGGAAGGAGAGGACGACACAGGAAAGAUGAGGAGGAGGAGGAGGAAGGAGAGAGAUCGAAGGCAAUUCUGCUCCUGCUUGGGAGUCCAGUUUCCAGUUCGAUAUGGGAGCUUCAGAAGACAGCCUCAUCCUGUGCUUUGGGAGAGACAGGGGCUUUUGUGGGAGAGAGAAAAGUGGCCUCUUCUCAGCAGAUGACCCUGGGGAUGGGCCCCGGCUGCUCUUUGCCCUCUGAGGAACUUAUAGCCCAGCGGCAAGGAUGAUCAUGGACUGUGCUACAAGCCACUCCACACCCUGCAAGGGAGCGGAAUAAAGUGCUCUGGAGUCCAGUGGUGGGAGACAACACUGCCAAGCUGAGAAGGCGGGCAGGCUUUCUGGAAGAGGUGACAUGUGGGCAGGCUUUGACCAAUGGGCAGCAUUUACCUGUGAAGGCCAUGGGGGUAGGGAGAAUUCAGCCUCACUCCUACCCACAAAGCUCUCUAGCACCAGGAACCAGUUUCAUGAAAGACAAUGUUUCCACGGAUGGGGGGACAGGAAGCGGAUGGUUUGAAGAUGAAACUGUACCACCUCAGAUCAUCAGGAAUUAGAUUCUCAUAAGGAGUGCGCAAUUCGCAAUAGGGUUCACAUCCUUUGAGAAUCUAACAUUGAGGAGCAUGGGCGGUGGGGGAAGCCCUGCUGUAGCACAUCAUCUUGUUUUAUUGUAUUCAUAGCACUUAUCUGAAUUUAUCUUGUUUAUUUGAAUAUCCGUUUUCUUUUGUCUCCACCCCUACAACGUAAGCUAAAGCCUCCGGUGUCUUGUCCACCACACUUAGUGACUGUGUCCCCAGCACUUAAAACAGUGUCUGGUGCUCUUUAAAGGGAGGAAGAAAGGGAGACAGGGAGGGAAGGAAGAAGAGAGAGAGAGAGAGAGAAGGGAGGGAGGGGAAAAGCUCACCUGCCAAGGCACAGGACCUGAAGGCCAGUCUGGCAGGAAGAAGAUGAUGGCAGGCCUUGAAUACAGGUUGAGGAAGGUGGACUCAACAUUUGCCACUGGGGAGCCAUGAGGUUUAUGAGCAGGGCAGUGAUGCAUACAGGCCAGUGGCCCCUGGGCCAGCCAUUUACUCUGCAGAAUCUCCUUGACUAUGAAACAUAUGGGUCUCCGAUUUAGCCAAUUGACAGGUAAACUCUACCUAGUCGCAGGAUUCAACCAUGACCUUUGGCAUUAUAGGUACAUACGUAAACCUAUUAUAUAGCAUUUUAGCUUACAUUGUAGGGGUGGGGCCGGCAAAACACAGAUGUUCAGAUAAACAAAAUAAAUUCACAUAUGCCUUCUCUCCUUAGCUUCACCCUCAGACCAUCCCACAGAAAUAGGUCCUAGAUGGAAACAGCUUAUGGUACAAAAGUCAUGUCUUUGAGAAAACACAUUUGCAUGGAACAGCCAUACCAUUGCCUUUCUCUAAAGCACACACGGAGGACAGUACGGCAUGCAGAAUGGGGAGGGAAGUGGCUAGAUCACUCAUACCUUCCUAGGAGCCCCCUUCUACCCUUCAGAAGUGGACCAAGCCAGUGCCCAGUGUCUCACCCUUGCUAAAGAAUAGCUCACUUGAUUUCAGGGCCAAAGAAGGGGGUGGUAAGGCCAGGCAGGGGCUGAACGAGAACCCUCUCGUGAGCUACCUGCCCACUUUCCAAAACUGAGCAGGACAAAUGCAACGGGGAGGUUUCAUUUUAAAUGUUCUCCAGUUGGAGAAGGGCUUUAAUCUCAACAACGAAGACUCGCCAGCCCUUCAGCCCCUGGGCCUGGGGAUGAAAGCUCUGGGCCUUCAUGGAGAGGUCCACUGUCUGCAGAGUCCUGGCCAUAGCUGGGAAGGAGGGAUCCUGGGCUCUGGUCUUGACUACAGGACAUCUGGUAUCUCUGUUGGAGCCAAGUCGAAUCAGAUGCUCAGGCUCCUAGUGGGAAGGGGCAGAGCAGCAGAGAGAUCUGACCUGGAAAGAGCAUGUGGUGGGUGCAGGCACAGGGCUCUGGAUGCAGGACUGCAGCCCUAACUCUACCGCUGGACAGCUCUGCUACCUUAGGCAGCUCCGUUACACACUCUGCACCACAAUUUCCUCAUCUGCAAAAUGGAGAAAUCAUCACUCUGCCUACUUCAGAAGAGCACUGUAGGGAUCAAAUGAGCUGAAAGGGAGAUGAAAGGAGUUUGUGCUGCACACAGGGAGAUGAUGAGGCCAUACCCUCCUCACUGUGGCACAGAACACGGUAGCAGGAGGGACUAGAAAGGCCCUGUACUCAGAAUUAAUUAGGAGGCUCUUGUUUCUCGACAACUGCCCAGGGCCUGAAUCCCAGCCCCACUUCUCACCUGUAGGUGACCAUGAACCAGACAUCUCAGCCCUCUGGGAGGCUUGUCUUUGAAGCGGGAGGAGGGGAGGAGCUGGCUCCAGUGAUUGCUAAGGUGCUGUCGAGCUCUGCAUUUGUUCCCUGGAGCCUCCCUAAUUUCCAGACUUCAAAGUUCUGAAUUCUCCCUGAUGCCCCAUCUUACUCUCAACCAAGGGGAGACCAGGG